CCUACGGGAGGCUGCAGUGGGGAAUAUUGCACAAUGGGGGAAACCCUGAUGCAGCGACGCCGCGUGAGUGAAGAAGUAAUUCGUUAUGUAAAGCUCUAUCAGCAGGGAAGAAAAUGACGGUACCUGAGUAAGAAGCCCCGGCUAACUACGUGCCAGCAGCCGCGGUAAUACGUAGGGGGCAAGCGUUCUCCGGAUUUACUGGGUGGAAAGGGAGCGUAGACGGCAGUGCAAGUCUGGAGUGAAAGGCGGGGGCUCAACCCCCGGACUGCUCUGGAAACUGUACGGCUGGAGUGCAGGAGAGGUAAGUGGAAUUCCUAGUGUAGCGGUGAAAUGCGUAGAUAUUAGGAGGAACACCAGUGGCGAAGGCGGCUUACUGGACUGUAACUGACGUUGAGGCUCGAAAGCGUGGGGAGCAAACAGGAUUAGAUACCCGUGUAGUC
This 440-nucleotide ribosomal RNA is filed under the name uncultured bacterium. RNAcentral's name for it is "partial 16S ribosomal RNA". It matches the Rfam family "Bacterial small subunit ribosomal RNA", at positions 338 to 795 of the family's 1533-position model. The record is from RNAcentral.